This 75-nucleotide transfer RNA is filed under the name Myxococcales bacterium. RNAcentral describes it as "tRNA-Leu". It matches the Rfam family "tRNA". From Rfam's summary of the family: Transfer RNA (tRNA) molecules are approximately 80 nucleotides in length. Lineage: Bacteria; Pseudomonadati; Myxococcota; Myxococcia; Myxococcales. The record is from RNAcentral.
CUUGGAGUAGUUCAGCGGUAGAACGCCCGGCUUAGGACCGGGAGGGCGCGGGUUCGAAUCCUGCCUCCAAGCCCU